GGCGUCGGUUACGUCAUAAACUGGAGUUGGGAGCUGGACUUUCUAGUUACAAUUCCCGGUUGUACUUUGUACUUGCAGCUCCCAACUGCAGCAUAUGAUUCAGCACAACUGCAGCAUAUGAUUACUGCAUAUGUACACUGUAUAGAAGUACACUAACUAAUUUACUCACUUACUGAUAAUCACACACACACGCGCUGGUGCAUCUGCUGUGCAUACCUCAAGGAUGCUCGCAGCCCAGAUGCAGCUACCUGUGCAGCCGUGUUGCACGCUUGCAAGUGGUUGUUUACAUUCUUUUACCGCAUGGAGCGGCAUUGGCACAUUAGCGCAACUGGCUCGUCAGCGAUGUUGCUGCAUACCAUGCGCGUCUCUUAUUGAUUGAAAACACUUAUAGUAAUGCUGCGCACUUAUAAUAUACAAAUUAUUUGUCAACUUAUCGAGUAGUUUAAUUGCUUAACUGGAUUGUGCACGGCUUAUAUAUAAUUGUGAAACUUGACAUGCGCCCAAUGGUUGGAGUACUGUACGGAUGGAUGGAUGGUACUGUACUAUAUGGAUACUACUGUACACUGUACAGUUAUAUUGGUUUACUUUCACUGCUUGAUUCAACAAGUUGUUUACAUUCUUUUACACUAUGGAGGAGCACUUUAACGCAUCUGGCUCGUCAAAGCCUUUCAACGCAUAUCUACUGCGUGCAUGCUUAUGCGUGCGUGCAGAUCAACUGGAAAAAGUCCGCCAGGGUCGCUGCAAAAUUUUUUCCACUGGAGCCAAAGCCACAUUUCUGUUAACGAUUACUCCGCUAAUUGCAGAAUUUAUGAAUUUCUUGUACACGAAUUUCGGGGCUGCUAUAAACAACGAGGGUUUGAGUGGAAAAAGUUGGCCUGAACUUCUCAAAGAAUUUUUCCACCUUGUCAACGAAUGGAAAAUCAUCGCCAUACAACCUUGAAGCCGGACUCGCAUGGCCGGAAAUAUUUCAGUUUCCGGUAAUAGUGAUCCAAUAACGCGAGAGCAUCACUGAUGGACUUUGCACCAUUGACUGUGAUCUUGCCGUUGCGGUACACUUGGCAGUGCGAUUUGUAAGGACGAAUGGAACGGAGAAGAAGCCCGGAAAAUUUAUGUGGUGCAUAAUGAGAAAGCGGAGCGCGUUCGGAUAAGCUGGGUAAGUCAAUUGCGCAGCCAAGGUCAGCAGUUGCAACAACGUUAGUUAUUUUCGCCAUUCAGCCAAUUUGCAAAUGUCUCCGCUUUUGAAAGCGUUGUUUGUGGUAAUGAAGUAAGCUCCUUAAACUUCGGGCACCCAAUGUCUUCAAGAUUAAACACUUCAGGCAAAUAAUUUUCCAAAAUCUUUUGCUUUUCCAAUCCUUUGGCAAAAAACGUCAAACGCGCAGGUCGUUCACCAAUAAGC
This is a long non-coding RNA of Paramacrobiotus metropolitanus, 1396 nucleotides long. RefSeq lists it as uncharacterized. NCBI's taxonomy places the organism in Eukaryota, Metazoa, Tardigrada, Eutardigrada, Parachela, Macrobiotidae. The transcript has 5 exons. The record is from RefSeq and is a predicted model, not a curated record.